This 336-nucleotide unclassified non-coding RNA is filed under the name soil metagenome. Its description in RNAcentral is "partial contains 5.8S ribosomal RNA, internal transcribed spacer 2, and large subunit ribosomal RNA". The stretch from base 1 to 120 matches the Rfam family "5.8S ribosomal RNA", at positions 35 to 154 of the family's 154-position model. The record is from RNAcentral.
GAUGAAGAACGUAGCGAAACGCGAUAAGUAAUGUGAAUUGCAGAAUUCAGUGAAUCAUCGAAUCUUUGAACGCACAUUGCGCCCCUUGGUAUUCCAUGGGGCAUGCCUGUUCGAGCGUCAUUUGUACCUUCAAGCUUUGCUUGGUGUUGGGUGUUUGUCUCGCCUUUGCGUGUAGACUCGCCUUAAAAUAAUUGGCAGCCGGCGUAUUGAUUUCGGAGCGCAGUACAUCUCGCGCUUUGCACUCAUAACGACAGCGUCCAAAAGUACAUUUUACACUCUUGACCUCGGAUCAGGUAGGGAUACCCGCUGAACUUAAGCAUAUCAAUAAGCGGAGGA